This 253-nucleotide ribosomal RNA is filed under the name uncultured bacterium. Its description in RNAcentral is "partial 16S ribosomal RNA". It matches the Rfam family "Bacterial small subunit ribosomal RNA", at positions 524 to 776 of the family's 1533-position model. The record is from RNAcentral.
UACGGACGGUGCGAGCGCUAAUCGGAAUUACUGGGCGUAAAGCGUGCGCAGGCGGUCUUUUAAGCCAGAUGUGAAAUCCCCGGGCUUAACCUGGGAACUGCGUUUGGAACUGGAAGGGUAGAGUACGGCAGACGGGGGUGGAAUUCCACGUGUAGCAGUGAAAUGCGUAGGGAUGUGGAGGAACACCGAUGGCGAACGCAGCCCCCUGGGCCUGUACUGACGCUCAUGCACGAAAGCGUGGGGAGCAAACAGG